GGGGAUUUUUCCCCAAUGGGGGAAAACCUGGCGGAACCAAUCCCCGGGAGGGAGGAAGGCUUUUGGGUUGUUAACCUUUUUUUUCAGAGAAUAAGCACUGAAGGUACUUGAGGAAUCAGCAUCGGCUAACUCCGUGCCAGCAGCCGCGGUAAUACGGAGGAUGCAAGCGUUAUCCGGAAUGAUUGGGCGUAAAGCGUCCGUAGGUAGCAUAGUGAGUCUAUUGUUAAAGCGUUUGGCUUAACCAAAUAAAAGCGGUAGAAACUACACAGACUAGAGUGCAACGGGGGUAGAGGGAAUCAUAGAGUAGCGGUGAAAUGCGUAGAAUUCAGGAAGAACACCGGAGGCGAAAGCGCUCUGCUAGGCCGCAACUGAC
RNAcentral lists this ribosomal RNA (373 nucleotides) under Hapalosiphon sp. K23. RNAcentral's name for it is "bacterial SSU rRNA". It matches the Rfam family "Bacterial small subunit ribosomal RNA", at positions 356 to 744 of the family's 1533-position model. The record is from RNAcentral. Lineage: Bacteria; Bacillati; Cyanobacteriota; Cyanophyceae; Nostocales; Hapalosiphonaceae.